UCAAACUUGGUCAUUUAGAGGAAGUAAAAGUCGUAACAAGGUCUCCGUUGGUGAACCAGCGGAGGGAUCAUUAAAGAGUCGUAAAACACUCCCUAAACCCUUUGUUAAUCUACCUGUCGUUGCUUCGGCGGGCAGCCCCAGGGCGGGGCUGUGGCCGCAAGGCGCCCGCCGAAGGUAUCGCAAACUCGUAUUGUAUUCGUGGUCUUCAGAGUAUCAAACAAAAUAAUCAAAACUUUCAACAACGGAUCUCUUGGUUCCAGCAUCGAUGAAGAACGCAGC
RNAcentral lists this unclassified non-coding RNA (279 nucleotides) under uncultured fungus. RNAcentral's name for it is "partial contains small subunit ribosomal RNA, internal transcribed spacer 1, and 5.8S ribosomal RNA". The stretch from base 1 to 73 matches the Rfam family "Eukaryotic small subunit ribosomal RNA", at positions 1759 to 1831 of the family's 1831-position model. The record is from RNAcentral. Lineage: Eukaryota; Fungi.